RNAcentral lists this ribosomal RNA (497 nucleotides) under uncultured bacterium. Its description in RNAcentral is "partial 16S ribosomal RNA". It matches the Rfam family "Bacterial small subunit ribosomal RNA", at positions 28 to 507 of the family's 1533-position model. The record is from RNAcentral.
GACGAACGCUGGCGGCGUGCCUAAUACAUGCAAGUAGAACGCUGAAGAGAGGAGCUUGCUCUUCUUGGAUGAGUUGCGAACGGGUGAGUAACGCGUAGGUAACCUGCCUUGUAGCGGGGGAUAACUAUUGGAAACGAUAGCUAAUACCGCAUAACAAUGGAUGACACAUGUCAUUUAUUUGAAAGGGGCAAUUGCUCCACUACAAGAUGGACCUGCGUUGUAUUAGCUAGUAGGUGAGGUAAUGGCUCACCUAGGCGACGAUACAUAGCCGACCUGAGAGGGUGAUCGGCCACACUGGGACUGAGACACGGCCCAGACUCCUACGGGAGGCAGCAGUAGGGAAUCUUCGGCAAUGGGGGCAACCCUGACCGAGCAACGCCGCGUGAGUAAAGAAGGUUUUCGGAUCGUAAAGCUCUGUUGUAAGUCAAGAACGGGUGUGAGAGUGGAAAGUUCACACUGUGACGGUAGCUUACCAGAAAGGGACGGCUAACUACGUG